CCUACGGGAGGCAGCAGUGGGGAAUAUUGGACAAUGGGGGGAACCCUGAUCCAGCCAUGCCGCGUGUGUGAAGAAGGCCCUCGGGUUGUAAAGCACUUUCAGUGAGGAAGAACGCCUGGUGGUUAAUACCCAUCAGGAAAGACAUCACUCACAGAAGAAGCACCGGCUAACUCCGUGCCAGCAGCCGCGGUAAUACGGAGGGUGCGAGCGUUAAUCGGAAUUACUGGGCGUAAAGCGCGCGUAGGUGGCUUGAUAAGCCGGUUGUGAAAGCCCCGGGCUCAACCUGGGAACGGCAUCCGGAACUGUCAAGCUAGAGUGCAGGAGAGGAAGGUAGAAUUCCCGGUGUAGCGGUGAAAUGCGUAGAGAUAGGGAGGAAUACCAGUGGCGAAGGCGGCCUUCUGGACUGACACUGACACUGAGGUGCGAAAGCGUGGGUAGCAAACAGGAUUAGAUACCCCUGUAGUC
RNAcentral lists this ribosomal RNA (465 nucleotides) under Vreelandella stevensii. Its description in RNAcentral is "partial 16S ribosomal RNA". It matches the Rfam family "Bacterial small subunit ribosomal RNA", at positions 338 to 795 of the family's 1533-position model. The record is from RNAcentral. Lineage: Bacteria; Pseudomonadati; Pseudomonadota; Gammaproteobacteria; Oceanospirillales; Halomonadaceae.